AGAGUUUGAUCCUGGCUCAGGAUGAACGCUGGCGGCGUGCUUAAUACAUGCAAGUCGAACGAGGGCACUCACGUAGCAAUACGAGGGUGUUCCUAGUGGCGAACGGGUGCGUAACACGUAGGCGACCUGCCCCGAAGUGUGGGAUAACACCGCGAAAGCGGUGCUAAUACCGCAUGAUCUCCCUGGGGUUAGAGGCCUGGGGAGCAAAGGCGUAAGCCGCUUUGGGAGGGGCCUGCGGCCCAUCAGCUAGUUGGUAGGGUAACGGCCUACCAAGGCAGCGACGGGUAGGGGGCCUGAGAGGGUGGCCCCCCACACUGGCACUGAAAUACGGGCCAGACACCUACGGGUGGCAGCAGUAGGGAAUAUUGGACAAUGGGCGAAAGCCUGAUCCAGCAACGCCGCGUGCGCGAUGAAGGCCUUCGGGUUGUAAAGCGCUUUUCGGGGGGAUGAGGAAGGACCGUACCCCCGGAAUAAGUCUCGGCUAACUACGUGCCAGCAGCCGCGGUAAAACGUAGGAGGCAAGCGUUAUCCGGAUUUACUGGGCGUAAAGCGCGUGCAGGCGGUUCGGUAAGUCGGACGUGAAAGCUCCUGGCUCAACUGGGAGAGGCCGUUCGAUACUACCGGACUAGAGGGCAGGAGAGGGAGGUGGAAUUCCGGGUGUAGCGGUGAAAUGCGUAGAUAUCCGGAGGAACACCAGUGGCGAAGGCGGCCUCCUGGUCUGCCCCUGACGCUCAGACGCGAAAGCUAGGGGAGCGAACGGGAUUAGAAACCCCGGUAGUCCUAGCUGUAAACGAUGCGGACUUGGUGUGGGUGGCUUAAACUCCAUCCGUGCCGCAGCCAACGCGAUAAGUCCGCCGCCUGGGGACUACGGCCGCAAGGUUAAAACUCAAAGGAAUUGACGG
RNAcentral lists this ribosomal RNA (902 nucleotides) under uncultured Chloroflexota bacterium. RNAcentral's name for it is "bacterial SSU rRNA". It matches the Rfam family "Bacterial small subunit ribosomal RNA", at positions 8 to 916 of the family's 1533-position model. The record is from RNAcentral. Lineage: Bacteria; Bacillati; Chloroflexota.